GAGAUGUUGGGUGGGGAUGACGUCAAAUCGGGGGACAGAGUGACAGGUGGUGCAUGGUAGUCGUCAGCUCGUGUCGUGAGAUGUUGGGUUAAGUCCCGCAACGAGCGCAACCCUUGAUCUUAGUUGCCAGCAUUUAGUUGGGCACUCUAAGGUGACUGCCGGUGACAAACCGGAGGAAGGUGGGGAUGACGUCAAAUCAUCAUGCCCCUUAUGACCUGGGCUACACACGUGCUACAAUGGAUGGUACAAAGGGCUGCAAGACCGCGAGGUCAAGCCAAUCCCAUAAAACCAUUCUCAGUUCGGAUUGUAGGCUGCAACUCGCCUACAUGAAGCUGGAAUCGCUAGUAAUCGCGGAUCAGCAUGCCGCGGUGAAUACGUUCCCGGGCCUUGUACACACCGCCCGUCACACCACGAGAGUUUGUAACACCCGAAGUCGGUGGAGUAACCGUAAGGAGCUAGCCGCCUAAGGUGGGACAGAUGAUUGGAUCAGCAUGCCGCUCAUCAU
Molecule: ribosomal RNA, 505 nt
Filed under: Priestia megaterium
Lineage: Bacteria; Bacillati; Bacillota; Bacilli; Caryophanales; Bacillaceae
Description: bacterial SSU rRNA
Rfam family: Bacterial small subunit ribosomal RNA
Source: RNAcentral